CCUACGGGAGACAGCAGUGGGGAAUAUUGCACAAUGGGGGAAACCCUGAUGCAGCGACGCCGCGUGAGUGAAGAAGUAUCUCGGUACGUAAAGCUCUAUCAGCAGGGAAGAAAAUUACGGUACCUGACUAAGAAGCCCCGGCUAACUACGAGCCAGCAGCCGCGGUAAUACGUAGGGGGCAAGCGUUAUCCGGAUUUACUGGGUGUAAAGGGAGCGUAGACGGCAGCACAAGUCUGGAGUGAAAUCCCGGGGCUUAACCCCGGAACUGCUGUGGAAACUGUGAGGCUGGAGUGCAGGAGGGGUAAGCGGAAUUCGUAGUGUAGCGGUGAAAUGCGUAGAUAUUAGGAGGAACACCGAUGGCGAAGGCAGCUUACUGGACUGUAACUGACGUUGAGGCUCGAAAGCGUGGGGAGCAAACAGGAUUAGAUACCCUGGUAGUC
RNAcentral lists this ribosomal RNA (440 nucleotides) under uncultured bacterium. RNAcentral's name for it is "partial 16S ribosomal RNA". It matches the Rfam family "Bacterial small subunit ribosomal RNA", at positions 338 to 795 of the family's 1533-position model. The record is from RNAcentral.